UACGAGAGGUGCAAACGUUAUUCGGAUUUAUUGGGCGUAAAGGGUGUGUAGGCGGUCUAUUAAGUCUACUGUUAAAUUUCUCGGCUUAACCGAGAGCAAGCGGUAGAUACUGAUGAACUAGAGGAUGGAAGAGAGAAGUGGAAUUCUUGGAGUAGCGGUAAAAUGCGUAGAUCUCAAGAGGAACACCGAUGGCGAAGGCAGCUUCUUGGUCCAUUCCUGACGCUGAGACACGAAAGCGUGGGGAGCAAACAGG
RNAcentral lists this ribosomal RNA (253 nucleotides) under uncultured bacterium. Its description in RNAcentral is "partial 16S ribosomal RNA". It matches the Rfam family "Bacterial small subunit ribosomal RNA", at positions 524 to 776 of the family's 1533-position model. The record is from RNAcentral.